ACGAACGCUGGCGGCAUGCCUAACACCUGCCCGUCGAACGAAGUCUUCGGACUUAGUGGCGCACGGGUGCGUCACGCGUGGGAAUCUGCCCUUGGGUACGGAAUAACUCAGAGAAAUUUGUGCUAAUACCGUAUAAUGUCUUCGGACCAAAGAUUUAUCGCCCAAGGAUGAGCCCGCGUAAGAUUAGCUAGUUGGUGGGGUAAAAGCCUACCAAGGCGACGAUCUUUAGCUGGUCUGAGAGGAUGAUCAGCCACACUGGGACUGAGACACGGCCCAGACUCCUACGGGAGGCAGCAGUGGGGAAUAUUGGACAAUGGGCGAAAGCCUGAUCCAGCAAUGCCGCGUGAGUGAUGAAGGCCCUAGGGUUGUAAAGCUCUUUUACCAGGGAUGAUAAUGACAGUACCUGGAGAAUAAGCUCCGGCUAACUCCGUG
Molecule: ribosomal RNA, 432 nt
Filed under: uncultured bacterium
Lineage: Bacteria
Description: partial 16S ribosomal RNA
Rfam family: Bacterial small subunit ribosomal RNA
Source: RNAcentral